GGCCGCGGGAAUUCGAUUACUGCUCAGUAACACGUGGAUAACCUGCCCUUGGGUCUGGGAUAACCCCGGGAAACUGGGGAUAAUACCGGAUAACGCAUAUAUGCUGGAAUGCUUUAUGCGUAAAAUGGAUUCGUCUGCCCAAGGAUGGGUCUGCGGCCUAUCAGGUAGUAGUGGGUGUAAUGUACCUACUAGCCUACAACGGGUACGGGUUGUGAGAGCAAGAGCCCGGAGAUGGAUUCUGAGACAUGAAUCCAGGCCCUACGGGGCGCAGCAGGCGCGAAAACUUUACAAUGCGGGAAACCGUGAUAAGGGGACACCGAGUGCCAGCAUCAUAUGCUGGCUGUCCAGAUGUGUAAAAUACAUCUGUUAGCAAGGGCCGGGCAAGACCGGUGCCAGCCGCCGCGGUAACACCGGCGGCCCGAGUGGUGAUCGUGAUUAUUGGGUCUAAAGGGUCCGUAGCCGGUUUGGUCAGUCCUCCGGGAAAUCUGAUGGCUCAACCAUUAGGCUUUCGGGGGAUACUGCCAGGCUUGGAACCGGGAGAGGUAAGAGGUACUACAGGGGUAGGAGUGAAAUCCUGUAAUCCUCGAGGGACCACCUGUGGCGAAGGCGCCUCACCAGAACGGCUUUACAGUUGAGGGACGAAAGCUGGGGGGGCAA
This 657-nucleotide ribosomal RNA is filed under the name uncultured Methanosarcina sp. RNAcentral's name for it is "bacterial SSU rRNA". It matches the Rfam family "Archaeal small subunit ribosomal RNA", at positions 68 to 722 of the family's 1478-position model. Lineage: Archaea; Methanobacteriati; Methanobacteriota; Methanomicrobia; Methanosarcinales; Methanosarcinaceae. The record is from RNAcentral.